CAGGAGUGCCAAGGCCAGGCCAGGCCAGGUCACCCCACGGGUCAGACAGGGAAUCAGGAACAGGAGCAGAUGAAAAGGGAACAAGCUGCUGCCAAGCCCCAGCUCGAGCAGCCGCUGUGGUCCCGCACAGACAGGCAGGGAGGGCACAGAGCCCUGCAGCCUCCCCACAGAGAGGCAGGGCACACAGAAAGGCAGGGCACACAGAAAGGCAGGGCACACAGCCCUGCCACCUCCCCAAGGCCACCACGGUGACAGCUCAGGAGGUGGAGAUCAAAGAGCAGCUGAGAAAUGUCGAGCCCCGAGCUGGAGGAGCACACGCUGCUGUCAGCACAGGUGGAGCAGCUCCAGCCCAGCCUUUGAUAAGCACAGCCCCGCUGGGAAAUGAGUUCAGAGCUCCCAUCCCAGCCAGGAACGUGCAAACACGGGGAACACGAGCCAAGGGCUGAGCUCCAGCACAGAAAUCAUCACUCCAGAUCAUUCCUAGUGUGUUUGGCACUGACCACACUGAGCCAAGGGCUGGCCCCAGGGACAAGAGGGGACCCCCAGCAGGCAGGAGCAGCCUUGGGGUCACCAGCACGGCACAGCCCUCAAUUCUGGGGCCAGAAAGCCAAGGGGAGCGUGUGGCAGGCACGCUUCCACCCAGCAGCAGGAGGGAUGCAGAGCAGGGAGGGAUGCAGCUCUGGGGCCAAGGAAGGAUUGGUCAGGACCAGUGACACAGAGCAGUGGGAAAAGAGAAAGGAAAGGUCAGGGAAGAGAGAGGACUGGGCUGGAUCGAUGCUGCAGGCAGAAAUACCUGGAAGGAGUAAACAUGGAGAGCAGGGAGGAUUUGCUUAGGCAAUCACGAGGGAGAAGAGCUAGAAAUGGGAUAGGAUUAAAGAGAAGUUGGGUUGAUGGGCAGGGGAAGAGCAUCUGAGCAGGCAAAGCUGCUGAAAGCCCCCCUCAGCACAGAGGCAAAAUGAGCAGAGCAGGGACCCUCAGCCCAGAGAGCUUCUCCUCAUUCCCAAAACUGCUGCUUGUCAGGCAGCUGGCAGGCCCUGGAGCAGCCUCAGGGGUGGCACUGUCCCCUCCUGCAGCCCACCCAGCCCUGGGUGUCACCAGGGAGGUUGGGUGGUCUGUCCAGCCAGGCACAGCCACGCUGGAUCCCAGUUUGGGGCUAUCCCAGGCUCUUCCACAGCCAGGAAGGAGAGCAGAGCUCGGGAUGAGCCCUGACCCAACCUCUCCCCUGCUAUGGCAAAUAAAACAACAGCCCCACAGCAGGGAAUGGCCACCACAGGAGCUCAGACACAUUUCCCAGACACAUUCCCCACAUUUCUGGGGUCACUGACCCCGCAGGAGCCCCCAGAAGCGCAGCAGAGCCCUGCAGGUUUCCCAGGAUGGGGAACAACCUCCCCCUGCCCUGCUCAGCACCAGCCUCCCCCUCCCAGCUGCAGCCAGAGCUCCGUGGGGAUCAGAGCUGGGCCACGGCUGCUGAUGGACAUCCAGGCUGAUGGGAGAGGCAGAGCAGGGCCUGGGCAGCAGCCCCCAGAGCUGGGCAUGCCAGGCUGCCCUCCUCCCCUGGGAAGGGCUGUCUCCCCUCGUUUGUCACAUCUGCAGCAGCCCCAGCCCUGCACACAUGUGGUGUUACAUAAAACCCAGAGAGCAGAGCAGCAGGGGAAUGCUGGCUCCAGCCAGCCUCACCUUCUCCUUCUCCUGCCCAAAACCCUCCCCAGAGCAGGGACAGCCUGGAUCACAGCUCAGUCUGCACAGAUCUGGUAGCCAAGGUCCUGCACAGGCACCUCCAGGAACACCCCAGGGACCCAGGGGCAGCCACAGCUCCUCUGGGCACCCUCUGCCAGGGCCUGACCCCUGGCAGGAAUUGGAGUUUCUGCCCAAGAUCCCAUCCAGCCCUGCCCUCUGGCAGUGGGAAGCCAUUGCCCCUGUCCUGUCACUCCAGACCUUGUCCAAAGUCCCUCUCUUUAGACACUGGAAGGGGCUGCUCUUCUCUUCUCUUGCUGGGUUUGGGCACACGUCCUCCCUCAGCCUAAAUCCCAGCCAAACCUGGAGAGUCACCUGAGCUCGGAGUCCUUCCCCAUUUGACUUUCACACAAACCUCAUAACCUGGUUUGUGCAAACUCUGCCAUUCCCAGCUUCCUGACCUACACCUAAAAUUAUUUCUCCUGAUGGGAAUACCCAAAUGAGGUUUCAAUGACAAAAGUUUAUAAACCCCCACAGGUUAUCUGGCACAGAGGUGUUUAAUGUUUAAAUCAUUGCCCUGGGAGCAGGGCUGGGUGAAGGCAGAGCCUGAGCUCGGCCCCCCUGCCCUCCCAGGGUCACCCACUGUCACCUGGGUCAGGCACAGCCUUCCAGGACACACAGCCAGCCCCAGCACUGCUAUUUCAGCUGAAUUACAGCCAGUUUUGUCUCAGCCCGACGCAGAAAUCCAAUUGCUCACAGUGCUAAUAUGAUUUGAUAAAUACUUUGAACCAACAUAACUUCAUUGCUGAGCUGCUGAUUCAAUCCAGGUCCCAAACCCAUCAUGACCUUGAUUUCAUGGCCUGAUCACAACCAGCCUUUAAUGAAAUUAUAGCACUUGAGCUUCCCUGGUGAUUGUUUAAUCUUAAUAUUGUUCUCAUUCUUCUUCAUCAGAGAUGUGAAGUGAGUGGAAUUGGUUUGUUCUCCUGGUUUUCAGCACGGGUCAAGCCCCAUCUCAGUCACUCCACGAGGAAGAUGAGGCACGUGAGGCUCCCAGCCCUCACUCCCAGUGUGGAACAGCAGCUCAGGGAAUUCCCAGGGAAUAAAAGCCUGGCUGAAUGUGACACUCAGCAGAACAACCCCCAGCCCCAGCAGGGCUCCUGCCCAGGACAGGGAGAGCACUCCUGCAGCCUCCUGGGGCUGGUUCAGAGCUGCCAGGAGAGCCUGGGCUGCACACCAGAGCUGUUUUAACUCCUCAGCCACCUCAUGCUGCAACACUCAUGGGAAAACUCCCCAAAAGCAGCAGGAGACGGGGGCCAGGUGAUGUGGGACUGGCAGAGCACCUGGGCCAGCUCUGUGCAGGCAGUGAGGGGCUGGUGCAGCUCAGGAGAAGCCUGAAAGUGUCUGUGAGCAUCACAGCCCCUGCAGCCCUGCUGCAGAGCUCCCCAGCCCUGCUGUGAGCAGGCCCUGCUGGAGGCCAGGGUCUGUGAAGGGGAACAGCUGAACAGAACAGGUGAGGUCAGGGCUGAACAGAGCAGGUGAGGGGUCUGGGCUGAACAGAACAGGUGAGGGGUCUGGGCUGAACAGAGCAGGUGAGGGGUCAGGGCUGAACAGAACAGGUGAGAUCAGGGCUGAACAGAACAGGUGAGAUCAGGGCUGAACAGAACAGGUGAGGUCAGGGCUGAACAGAACAGGUGAGGGGUCUGUGCUGAACAGAGCAGGUGAGGGGUCAGGGCUGAACAGAACAGGUGAGGGGUCAGGGAUGAACAGAACAGGUGAGGUCAGGGCUGAACAGAGCAGGUGAGGGGUCUGUGCUCCUGCCCUGGGCCCUGAGUGAUGCAGCAGGGUGGGAGCAAGCCAGGGGCUGUGCUCUGCCAAAAGCAGGGCCUGGGUGCCCCCAGAGCUGCUCUCCCUCUGA
Serinus canaria (Common canary) is the source of this 3589-nucleotide long non-coding RNA. RefSeq lists it as uncharacterized. The transcript is spliced from 3 exons. The record is from RefSeq and is a predicted model, not a curated record. NCBI's taxonomy places the organism in Eukaryota, Metazoa, Chordata, Aves, Passeriformes, Fringillidae.